AUACCAGGGUAUUCGUAAGCAGGUUAACCCGUGGCCUGAGUGAGGAAGGCAAUGUCCUUGCUAGUCUGCUAGUCACUAUUAGUGGCGACACCUUCAAAUUGCGUGAAACGCGUCAUACAGCUUCAAGUACCACUUCAACUGAGAAAUCUUUUGAAGGAACAGAGGUAACUCCUCUUCCCAAAGGUAACAAGCUUGAAGACAUGGUGGCAAUGCGCAGCCAAGCUCCUAAGUAUUUAAUAUAAGGAGAAGGUUCAGAGAGCAGACGGAGGUGGGCGGUAAUCAUCACCGCUUAAAGUGUGCUCCAGCCUCUUUCGAAAGAUUGUG
Molecule: non-coding RNA, 324 nt
Organism: Macrostomum lignano
Lineage: Eukaryota; Metazoa; Platyhelminthes; Macrostomidae
Source: Rfam